This 3886-nucleotide long non-coding RNA is filed under the name Daucus carota (carrot). Its description in RNAcentral is "long non-coding RNA (DCAR_LNC003736)". The record is from RNAcentral. Lineage: Eukaryota; Viridiplantae; Streptophyta; Magnoliopsida; Apiales; Apiaceae.
UUUAUCAUAAGUCAAGUGUAAGUGAGUCAACGAGGAGUCUUUCUUUUGGUAAAGUUUAUUAUUUAUGACUAAUUGCUUCACCUUAUUGUUAUUUAGCGAAUUGAAUACCCCUGUCUAAUUACAGAGAAAACUUGAUUAGUUAAUAAUAUUUACACAUAACAUUGUUAAACUUUUACCUGAUUUCACGUCAAUUAGGCCUUGUUAUUACAAUUUCUAGCCGUAGUUGAGGUGCUCCUCAGGUGCAAAUGAGGUGAGGCAUAGGAGUCAGAGUCUUGAUGUGCUCCUCAGGCGUAAAUGAGGCGAGGCAUAGGAGUCAGCGUCUCUGGCACCCAAAUCAUGGUGCUGUCAGCCAGCCGCGCACCUUUGUGUGCUGGUUUGACUUCUAGGUGGGGUUUUGGGAAUUUAACUUGCGCUGAUGGUAUACUUAAGUGCAAAUGAGCUCUAAGAUCGCAUCUUUGUAGUAAAUCUAGUUAGAAAAGGAAAUCUGAGGUUUUGUUAAUUCUAAUCAUAGCCAUAGAAAAUAAUUAUAGAUAAGGAAGGGCUCAUAUUAAAAAAGAGAAGACCAGGAAAAGAAUGGUUGUACAGAAAUCGUAUAUUAGAAAUUGCAGCCACCUUUCGACUUUGAAAUAGCAAAGACCAACCACCCAUUUCUCUCCUCCGUUCCAUCGACUUCUAGUCUUACUCAUUUGGGAUGGUAGUUUCUACUUUCUAGACUAUUGCUAUUAGUUACUAAUUCGAUAAAGUUUAGCUUUGGUUUUCCGGGUUAUUAUAUAUGUGCUUCUAAUUUGUUUCCUUCUGCAAUUAAAGGAAGCAAAGAGGAACUGAUGCCUCUCGAGGAGGCUCUGAGCAUCACCAAGUUCAGCACAAGAAAGUCAAGCAUAAGAGAGUUGAUCCCGGCGAUAUCUCUCAGUAAAGUUGCUAAUUUAUAAUUAAUUUUGCUUCACUGACUGUGAGGGUUCGGAAUCAUAAACUAUGGCAUGAUUAUAGAUGAAUCCCUUGUUAGUUAAUAUUAAUUGAUCGAUAACAGUGUGAAAAAUGACUUGUAGCAUAUAAAUAGAUCCUAUUGUGCUCAGGAGAACUUAAAAUUUGAAUGAUAAAUAUAUCUUUUAGUUAUUGCUAGCUUCUGUUUAGUUAUUAAUAUGAUUUUUACAUAAUUUUUGAGGAAAACAGCUUGUUUGAUAUCGUGAAGCGAAUAAAACUUGGACAUGCAAAGAUGGCUUUGGAAUUUUAUGAGAAGAGACAGGUUUCCCAUUUCUCUCUUUCAUAUUCAUUUUAACCAUGUGUGCUGCAAGCAACAUUUCUAAUUUUACACUUGUUGGUUGUUAGGAUGCUGAGUUUGAAGUUUUAGAAGUCCUAAAUUUUACUAGUUCGGAAUUACUACACCCCGAAUCUAAUAAGUGGUGUCAAUCAUGGAGUCAUGUCAACUUCAUUGCUAAACCAAAGAACACUGACUGCAACGUCUCUCCAAAACACUUCUUUGGUGAAUUCUUUAUAGAUGAUGAUUCAAGGAAAUUCAAUGUCACCUACUGUUCUACAUUUGAGCCCAGUGAUGAUCCUGGUAAAGCUCAUACUAUAGUUUUUUGAAUGUGUUUUGCCUAGUUUAUAUUUUGUUGAAUGUGUUUUGCUUAGUUUUAUGUAUUAUGUUGGAUACAUAUAAAAUUUUACAAAACUAAGUCCGUUGAUUAUAUAUAUAUAUAUAUAUAUAUAUAUGUAUGUAUGUAUGUAUGUAUAUGUAACGUUUAAAACAACUUAUAAAUGAUAAAUUAUAUUUAAAUUUGAAUAAUCAAAGAUAUUAUUUUUGAUUAAACUAAAAAAUUAUGACUCGUACUCCAAUACUCCAAUGUUUUUGUGUACUCGAUAGAACUUAACUCUCUCUCUCUCCCUCUCUCUCUCUCUCUCUAUAUAUAUAUAUAUAUAUAUUAACUCAGAACCUUAUGAUUCUGAAUCCUUUGUUUUUGUUGAUGUGAUUGUGAACUUUCACCUUGACUGACUAUAUUGACUAUGCAAUUGAUGCAGGAUUCAACCAUGGUUGCAUAUUUUGCCCACCGGGUGAGAAAUUUCAUCCUUCCGAUGGAGAUUUUGUUGCUCGUCCGCCAUGGUAUAAAAGGAGUGGUAUAAAACUAGGAUAAUAUAUGGUUAGUUUAAGUGGGCACUGGUAUCUAUAUAAUAUUGGCUGGAACAAGGUUGGAGUUUUUGGUUGAAACUACGACAGUUGAAAGAAAACUUAAUUUAUGUAUUGGAUUUUACACUAUAUAUUUAUCUGUUUAAAUACUAAUAUGGUGAAUUAUAUAUUUUUUAUGCAUGAACUUUCAUUGAAUUCUGGGUUGUGAGACCAAAUUUUUGCUCGAUAGCGACGGCCUUUGCCUUUCCUUAUGAAAUGGUUGAAAGUCAAGUCAUAAGUUCCAUCAUUGAACUAAGAAAGAGAUUGUUACCUAUAUAUAAGUUCUUUCAUUAGACUAAGAGGUGCUUACUGCUUAGGAAUCAACAAUUAAUUAUUAAGAAUUUUUAAUUCUUGAGCAGGCAGUCAUUAUACAUGUUUCUCAUUUUUAUUCAUUCAUAGUAAUUUUGUUCGGAAUAAGAUUAAAUUCCUAUACGUUUUAUAUUGCCAGCAUCAAUAGAAUCUGACACGACACUGUCAUAAGGGAGUUUUAUUGUUCUUAGACCUUGGUUUUUUUCCAAACAUUCUUGUAGUAUUUAUUAGUUCAGCAACAUUCAGUCCACUUUAUGAAAUGCUCACUACAUUCGAAUAUGGUAAGUUCUUAUUAUAAAAUUGAUCAUAUGGUAAGUUCUUUUUGUAAAACUAAUCAUAUUUAUUUCGAUACCUAAACGAGGCUCCUUCCAUUUUCUAGGUACCCCAAACCUUUUUUUUAAACAAACUGCGUAUUUUGAAUUUUUUUGGAAGGUCCAGAGAACCCUAAAUAUUAAGUGUGGCAAACAUAGAUUGGUGGCAAUUGUGAUAGAUAUGAGAGGGUCAUUGCCCCCAAUUAAGGGGAAAGACAAAAGCAGGUUAUAAAUUCGUCCCAUAGAGAGACUGGUGAAAGAAUAGUGAAGGGAGAUUUUAAGGGAAAUCUGUAAAACAAAUCUUCACCGUCUUCGGUCCCAGAUGAGGCUAAUCUUCGCCCCUAGAAGAGGCUAAGACAGUAAGGGGAAAAAAACUGCCCUUUCUAGGUGAGUUCUGUUGUUACAAAAUGUUUAAUUACUGAAAAUAAUGAUUAUUAUUUGUUGAUAUCUUAUACUCCCUACGUCUCUGUUUACUUCUUUCGUUUGAUAUGUCGGGACUGUUCAUAACACGAGUCAAAUUAUUAAUUUACGUAUAAUUUAUAAGACUAAAUAUAGUCCUGAGUGGUCUUUUACACGAAUUCACGUCAAUUUGACCUUGUUGUUGCAACUUCUAGCCAUAGUUGAUGUGCUUCUCAGGCACAAAUGAGGCGAGGCAUAGGAGUCAGUGCCUCUGGCACCCAAAUCAUGUUGCUGUCAGCCAGCCGCAGCCGCGCACCUAUGUGUGCUGGUGACUUGGGCGUAGGCGCAAUUUUAGGACUUCUAGUGGGGUUUUGGGAAUUUACCGCGCGCUGAUGGUAUACUUAAGUGCAAAUGAGCUCUAAGAUCGCAUCUUUGUAGUAAAAUUUAGUUAGAAAAGGAAAUCUGAGGUUUUGUUAAUUCUAAUCAUAGCCAUAGAAACUAAUCAUAAAUAAGGAAGGGCUCAUAUUAAAAAAGAGAAGACCAGGAAAAGAAUGGUUGCACAGAAAUCGUAUAUUAGAAAUUGCAGCCACCUUUCGACUUUGAAAUCGCAAAGACCAAGCACCCAUCUCUCUCCUCCAUUCCAUCGACUUCUAGUCUUACUCGUUUGGGAUGAUAGUUGUUUCUACUUUCUAGACUAUUGCUAUUA